AACCUUAUGGACCUGCGGGCGUAUACCUGCGGAGGGAUCAUUACAGUAUUAGGGUGCUUCGGCGCUCUUUACACCAACCCUUUGCCUAUGCGUACCUCCAUAGCUUCCUCGGCGGGCUCGCCCCCCGCCGGCAGGAACCCCUCUAACCCCUUGCAUCUUACGCGAAAACUUCCGAUAACAACCUAAUGAAUCACAACUUUUAGCAAUGGAUCU
This 213-nucleotide unclassified non-coding RNA is filed under the name soil metagenome. Its description in RNAcentral is "partial contains 5.8S ribosomal RNA, internal transcribed spacer 2, and large subunit ribosomal RNA". The record is from RNAcentral.